AACGAACGCUGGCGGCAGGCCUAACACAUGCAAGUCGAGCGCCCCGCAAGGGGAGCGGCGCACGGGUGCGUAACGCGUGGGAACAUACCCUUAGGUGCGGAACAACGUCUGGAAACGGACGCUAAUACCGCAUAAUAUCUACGGAUCAAAGAUUUAUCGCCUAAGGAUUGGCCCGCGUUAGAUUAGCUAGUUGGUGAGGUAAUGGCUCACCAAGGCGACGAUCUAUAGCUGGUCUGAGAGGAUGAUCAGCCACACUGGGACUGGGACACGGCCCAGACUCCUACGGGAGGCAGCAGUUAGGAAUAUUGGACAAUGGGCGAAAGCCUGAUCCAGCCAUGCCGCGUGUGUGACGAAGGCCUUAGGGUUGUAAAGCACUUUCGUCUAUGAAGAUAAUGACAGUAGUAGAAGAAGAAGCUCCGGCUAAAUUCGUGCCAGCCGCCGCCGUAA
Molecule: ribosomal RNA, 447 nt
Filed under: uncultured bacterium
Lineage: Bacteria
Description: partial 16S ribosomal RNA
Rfam family: Bacterial small subunit ribosomal RNA
Source: RNAcentral